RNAcentral lists this ribosomal RNA (373 nucleotides) under uncultured organism. Its description in RNAcentral is "bacterial SSU rRNA". It matches the Rfam family "Bacterial small subunit ribosomal RNA", at positions 526 to 896 of the family's 1533-position model. The record is from RNAcentral.
CGUAGGCAGCGAGCGUUGUUCGGAAUUACUGGGCGUAAAGAGUGUGUAGGCGGUGCUCUAAGUUUGGUGUGAAAUCUCCCGGCUCAACUGGGAGGGUGCAUCGAAAACUGGAGUGCUCGAGGGUGGGAGAGGUAAGCGGGAAUUCCUGGUGUAGCGGUGAAAUGCGUAGAUAUCAGGAGGAACACCUGUGGUGUAGACAGCUUACUGGACCACUUCUGACGCUGAGACACGAAAGGCGUGGGUAGCAAACAGGAUUAGAUACCCUGGUAGUCCACGCCCUAAACGAUGCAUACUUGGUGUGAGUCAUUCAUUUGAUUCGUGCCGGAGCUAACGCGUUAAGUAUGCCGCCGUGGGGAGUACGGUCGCAAGGCUG